GCAAGUCGAACGUGAAAACCCUCGGGUGAGUAGCGUGGCGGACGGGCGAGUAACACGUAAUCAAGCUACCUGGCAGACGGGGAUAACUUCGGGAAACCGAUCGUAAAACCCGAUAGUCUCACGACAUCGCAUGGUGAUGUGAGUAAAUGGACGGGACCCUCCGGGGCCGUCUGCUGCCAGAGGUGAUUGCGGCCCAUCAGUUUGUUGGUAGGGUAACGGCCUACCAAGACUACGACGGGUAGCCGGCCUAAGAGGGUGGCCGGUCGCACUGGGACUGAGACACUGCCCAGACUCCUACGGGAGGCUGCAGUCGAGAAUCUUCCGCAAUGGACGAAAGUCUGACGGAGCGACGCCGCGUGGAGGACGAAGGCCUUCGGGUUGUAAACUCCUGUCACGAGUUAAGAAGUGUAUAUGACUAAUAGUUGUAUGCAUUGACGAAGGCUCGAGAGGAAGCACUGGCUAACUCUGUGCCAGCAGCCGCGGUAAUACAGAGAGUGCGAACAUUGUUCGGAAUUACUGGGCUUAAAGAGUACGUAGGCGGCACAACAAGUGUCAGGUGAAAUCCCACGGCUUACCCGUGGAACUGCCUGGCAAACUGUUGAGCUAGAGUGUGGUAGGGGAGAACAGAACUCAUGGUGGAGCGGUGAAAUGCGUAGAUAUCAUGAGGAAUACCGGUGGCGAAGGCGGUUCUCUGGUCCACAACUGACGCUGAGGUACGAAAGCUAGGGUAGCGAACGGGAUUAGAUACCCCGGUAGUCCUAGCCGUAAACGAUGGGCACUAGCUUGGGGCCUCCCUGUGUGGUUCCAGGUGAAGCAAAAGUAAUAAGUGCCCCGCCUGGGGAGUAUGGUCGCAAGGCUGAAACUCAAAGGAAUUGACGGGGGCUCACACAAGCGGUGGAGCAUGUGGUUUAAUUCGAAGCAACGCGAA
Molecule: ribosomal RNA, 928 nt
Filed under: uncultured bacterium
Lineage: Bacteria
Description: bacterial SSU rRNA
Rfam family: Bacterial small subunit ribosomal RNA
Source: RNAcentral